RNAcentral lists this ribosomal RNA (254 nucleotides) under uncultured microorganism. RNAcentral describes it as "partial 16S ribosomal RNA". It matches the Rfam family "Archaeal small subunit ribosomal RNA", at positions 474 to 727 of the family's 1478-position model. The record is from RNAcentral.
CACCGGCGGCUCGAGUGGUGGCCACUUUUAUUGGGUCUAAAGCGUCCGUAGCCGGCUUGGCAAGUCCCCUGGGAAAUCUGGCGGCUUAACCGUCAGGCGUCCAGAGGAUACUGCCAGGCUUGGGACCGGGAGAGGUGAGAGGUACCUCAGGGGUAGGGGUGAAAUCUUGUGAUCCCUGAGGGACCACCGGUGGCGAAGGCGUCUCACUAGAACGGGUCCGACGGUCAGGGACGAAAGCUGGGGGCACGAACCGG